RNAcentral lists this ribosomal RNA (253 nucleotides) under uncultured bacterium. Its description in RNAcentral is "partial 16S ribosomal RNA". It matches the Rfam family "Bacterial small subunit ribosomal RNA", at positions 524 to 776 of the family's 1533-position model. The record is from RNAcentral.
UACGGAGGGUGCAAGCGUUAAUCGGAAUUACUGGGCGUAAAGCGCACGUAGGUGGUUUUGUAAGUCGGAUGUGAAAGCCCUGGGCUCAACCUGGGAAUUGCAUUCGAUACUGCUUAACUAGAGUAUGGUAGAGGGAAGUGGAAUUUCCGGUGUAGCGGUGAAAUGCGUAGAUAUCGGAAGGAACACCAGUGGCGAAGGCGACUUCCUGGGCCAAUACUGACACUGAGGUGCGAAAGCGUGGGUAGCAAACAGG